UUUUUUUUUUUGUUUACUUAAGUGAAGCGUUCGAAGUUGAGAUCGCUAACUUACACUUUUUUUCCUCUGAUCUAAUAGACACACUUAAGUAUACUCACUUUCAAUCAACUUUAGUGUGAUUAACAUUUGUGCUAUCUUCAAAUUUUCUAUAUUUAAAGCAUAAGGAGGGGAUUUGGUAUUAAAUUUCAUGUCAUCUCUUAGAUUUUCAAUUUUACCCUUACAAAAGUAAAGAUUUACUAAAGAUAACUAGUUUAAGUUUAGUAAGUUUUAAUAACUUCCACUUCUAGUAACUUCUAUUUUUUUGGUUUGUUUGCCUAUAAAAAAUCAUAACUUCUUUUUUUAUUUGUCAACAAAAAAUUCAAAUACCUUUUGUUGGUUUUGACAAAAACAACUAAUUUUUAUCGUAAUUUGUACACCCAUAGGAUGUGCUUUUCUCACUAAUACAAAUAAAAGUAAAGUUUCUUGAGUAGUCUUUAGAUUUGUGAUAUACAUUGAUGAAGAACUUAUUCAUUGUUUUACGAAACGCCGCUACAAUUGAUUGGUGGUUUCUACAAUGUACACGUUUUAAUUUGAUUAAAUUUUGAUUAAAAGAAGUCACUGUUCAUUUUUUUUUCCCUUCAAACAAAGAAGUCAAUUAGACUUCCAUGUCUAAUCUCCUUUUGGGAUUUCUAAAUUCUACAGUUGUAAUGGUUCUACUAGUAGUAGUUUUCCGAUUUGACGUUUUCGGUCAUUGCCUUAUGUCAAGUCAAGGAUUUUCUUAUCUUCAGAUUCCAAAAUUUCUGAAUUGUUUCAUGUUCAGCAUAAUUUUUAUUAACAUCAAAAUUAUCAUGAAUUAAUAAUGAUUACUCAUCGGACUUGAAAUGAUUGCAAGUUAUUUCAAAUUUAAACAUGUAGAGAAAAUAUACAAAGGUUUUGAGACUUUUCGUCUAUUUGAGUUUAAUAAUCCUGCUAAAGCAAUGUAUAUGUCUUUUGAGUUUUCUUUCAUAUACAUUGACAUACUUUAUAGAGACCAACAUACUGGGUUAAAGCGGAAUGUAUAUUGACGAUAUUUCACCAGUUGUUGGACAUAUGAAAACUUAUACUUUUUGUCAAACAAGUGAAAAUGUAAUAUAUUUCUGCACCAAACUGUACCUCUUGUAUUUUCCAAAAUAGUUCUAAAAAAAUCUAAAACAAUCUAUGCGAAUAUAUUUGUUGGUGAGAACAGUUUAUAAGCUAUGUAAACAAUUCAUUAAAUUCAAUUCAAUGCCUAACAUUUUUUUCCUUCUUUGUACCUCUACUGUUACGAAAUUAUUAUUACCUUAUUUAUGUAUCCAUGAAUCUUUUUCAUAUUUUUCAUGCAAUUUAUUAGAUUCCUUUCUCUAUAUCUUUCAAAUAACACAAUAAUAGAAAAUUGAACAGAAUUUUGCUAUAAUGGCCAUCCAAGAUAUUGCCCUUUCAAUUGUGGGAAAAAUUGCAGAGAAGUGUGUCGAUCCAAUUUUGCGCCAAUUUCAGUACUUAAUUUUCUACAAAAGCAACGUUCAAACUCUGAGCGAUGACAUCAAAAUACUUGAGCUAAAGGAAGCUGAGGUGCAACAAUUGGUACGUCAAGCAAAAGACAAUGCUGAAGAAAUUAAACCAACUGUUGUUGAUUGGCUGAAACGAGUUGAGGAUGUCAAGAAAGAUGCGCACACUAUUUCUGAGGGUAUGGAGACUGCUAAGGUGAAUUGCUUGAAUAUUGUCAGGCUUCCGAAUUUGAAGUCAUGCUAUUUGCUAGGCCGACGUGCGGUGAAAAGAAAGAGUGCUCUUGAAAAGCUUUUAGGAGAGGGGAAUUUUGAUAAAGUUGGAAGCAUUGCUCCAUUAGGCAAAAUGCGUUUUAGUGAAUCAACCCCAUCCUUAGAGGAAGGCUUAGUUUCUAGGAUGUCAACAAAGAAGGAAGUGAUGGAAGCUUUAAAGCAGGAGAAAACUAGCCUAAUGGCGAUUUGUGGUAUGGGCGGCAUAGGCAAGACUACUCUAGUCAAACAAAUUGCUGACCAGGUUAAGUUCGAGAAAUUGUUUGAUGAAGUCGCCAUGGCAAUCGUGUCUCAAAGUCUAGACAUGAGAAUUGUCCAAGAUCAACUUGCUGAGCAGUUAGGGCUGAAGAUAACAGAGCAAACUGAUCGUGCCAGAGCUGAAAGAUUGUGUACGAUACUAACUGGUCGUGACAAGAGAAUUCUUGUUAUAUUGGAUGACAUUUGGAAAGAAGUUGGUUUUGAGAGUCUAGGAAUUCCCGUCAAAGGUGAAUGCAAGAGCUUAAAAGUUAUACUGACAUCUCGAUCCUCAGAUGUUUGUAGGGGCAUGGGAGCUGAAAUUUUUGAGGUGCAUGCCUUGCGUAAAGAAGAAGCAUGGCAUCUUUUUAAAGAGGUUGCAGAAAUUUCUGAUGAUUCUGCUUUGAGUGGUGUUGCAAAGCAAGUUGCAGAGGAAUGCAAAGGUCUACCUCUUGCAAUCGUUGUUGUUGCCCGGGCAUUAAAGGGCAAUCAUACUCCAGAAUCCUGGGAUCGUGCCCUUCGGCAACUAAAAGAGUACACAAUUAGAGAACUAGAAGGAGAUGAAGAUUUAGUGUUUUCAAGAAUUAAGUUUAGCUAUGACUAUUUAAAAAGCGCUGAAGCUAAGUCAUUACUUUUGCUUUGCAGUUUGUUUCCAGAGGAUUAUAGUAUUCCAAUCGAAUGUUUGGUUAGGUAUGGUAAAGGGCUAGAAUUGUUCCCAGAUAGACGGAGGUUAGUAGAUGUAAGAGACAAGGUAGACACGCUUAUUGGUCACCUGAAAAGCUCCUAUUUGUUGCUAAAUGAUGCUAAAAAAGAAGACUCUGUAAAACUGCACGAUGUCGUGCGAGAUGUGUGCUUGUCAAUUGCAUCAAAAGACGAGCAUGAGUUCUUAGUGAGCAAUUCUGGAGUGGGAGAAAAGAAUUCUUACACUGCAAUUUCGAUAAUAUCGCAAGAUUGCAAUCAUGAUCUACUUCCAUUUUGCAAGGAAUAUCCAAGGCUUAGGCUGUUGUGUUUGGUAUUCCGAUUUGGGAAAUUGAACCUACCAAGAGACUCUUUUGUAGGAAUGGAAACUCUCAGGGUCAUGGAACUAAACCACUCGCAAAUUGAAUUUCCACUAUCAUGGCCUGGCCAAAUGCUAAGGAGCCUUCGGACACUGUGCCUGGAUGAUUGUGUAUUGGGCACUGGAUUGUCGUCAAUGCUUGGACACAUGACGCAGCUGGAAACUUUGAGCCUCUUUGAAUCCAAAAUUCUGGAUGAUCAGUUUCCAGCUGAAAUCGGUCAGUUGAGUAAUUUAAAGUUGUUGGAUUUGAGGGUCAAAAGUAGCCUCCAUCCCUUGCCUAGUGGUAUCUUGUCAAGCUUGAAGAAACUAGAAGAAUUGUAUUUGGGAUCUGGUGAUCAUUUGCGGCUAGGGAGAGAUAAAGAAGAGGAAAAAAGAUGCCUUAAAGAGAUCUCAUCAAUCUCUAAUCUUGCAUGUCUCCAGAUUGCUUUGUAUGACCUUAGCCUCCUACUUCUAUCUUUGCAAGAAUUUGAUACUCAGAGGUUGUUAAGAUUUGACAUUGCAGUAAAUGAUUCUGAAAGAGCACUGGCAUUUCACAGCAAAACCUAUCAAUUUCGGAAAAGCUUCAAGCUUUAUCUGUCAGAUCAUGGUGAUGAAGGGUUGAAACAACUUUUUGACCCCAAUGUUACUAGCAUUGUCAAGAGAACUGAGAAUCUCAUUUUACGUCUUUCUGAAUCAUCAUGCUUGAGGAAUCUUGUGCCUGACUUGGGUGAAAACGGGUUCAUCAAUUUGAAAAAGCUUUAUCUAGACCGUGGACAAUAUGAAUGCCUUAUUUAUUCUACUGCCAACCUUGUUGCCCGACAUGUUUUUGAAAAUUUGGUGUCCAUGGAGUUACUAAGGUUGGAGUUGAAAGAAAUAUGUAAGGGAUUUCUUCCACCUGGGUGCUUCAGUCAACUUCAAGAGGUGAGAUUUUUUAGAAUAAGUGCUUUAGAGUGCUUGUGGAAGGGACCGGUCGAAUCUCCGUCGCUUUGCAACCUCAGAUCUAUUGAAGUACAAGAUUGUGCUCAAAUUACAACUCUCUUCUCACAAUCAGCACUGAAAUGUCUGGUGAAACUCCAAAAGAUAGGCGUAUUUAGUUGUGAAAAUUUGGAGAGAAUUGUUCUGAGGGAGGAAAGUCUGACAGAGGAGGUGCUUGAGCUACCCCAACUCAAAGCGUUAACCUUACGCUUUACAAAAUUUAUUGGUUUUGGCCCUGAAGAUGAUAAAGCUGUGGCUUUCUUUGACCAGGUCUGUCUUCUCUCUCUCUCUCUCUUAGUUUGUGAAAUUAUAUGAUAUACUUAAUAUAGUUGAAUUCAGGUGAACACCGAAAACACACUUGAAUAUGCACUUUCUUUCUCAAUAUGUUAAUUAUAUUUUCAAAAUUAAUAAUGUUUCAUCAGUUAAUGUGAUGCGGAAUUUCUAAUGUUGACUGCUGUAAAGGUAAAACUAAUGUUCCAAAUUGACCUGUUUGUACGAUUCAUAUUAAUUAAUGUCAGUCAAUUCACAUACAGAUGUACUGACUAUUAAAUUGUGGUGGAAGUGAAUUUGAAGGUUGUAUGUAACUAACUAGUACCACUCCCUAGUGUUUGUUACAAUUAUUCAUGGUAGUUAUUAGUGAUUAUUUAAUUGUAAUAAAGACAGCUUGUGACGAUUUAAGGUUAGAUGUGAUAAACUAAUUCGGAUACUCUUCAGCCGAUGAAGCCCCCAAACAAAAAACAAAAAAAAAAGGUUAAAAAACAGUAAUUAAAAGAAAAAAAAAUAGGGUUGUUUGUUGUAGUACUAGUAAUUAAAAGUCUAGUGAUGAUGAAUAAAAAUAGGGUAAUAAAAAUAUUGACAACAAUAAUUUUGGUGUUCCAGUGACGUGUUGGUGUGUCUGUCACGUCAUCAAGCGUAACAAAUAGAUUGCUAGCAGCUGGAUGGAUCCGAACACUACUGUAACUGCACGUUGCAUUUUGCAUUAUGGGCCUAAGUUUGCCAAACUUUUCAGGUUUCACUCCCCCGCCUGGAAGUACUAGAGAUUAAUAAUCCUGGUGAUGGCCCCGAACAACUAAUAGGAGGGAAAAUGCCUAGUGGGUCCCUCGACAACUUAAAAUCUGUGCAACUUUGGGAAUGUCGCUCUAUCCGAUGCAUUGCCAAAGGUGAUACAGUUACAUUAUUACAAAACUUGCAAGCACUUCUCAUGUGGAAUUGUCAUGGGAUGGAAUCAUUUGUCAACUUUGAGGGUCUAAAAGUUCAUAAUACUCCAUCAGAAAAGGCAUUUGAAAUUCUUCCCAAACUAGAGUCACUGCACUUGUGUGGCUGUGCAAGCUUCAUCUCUAUUUGGAGGAAUUUUCCUGAAGGGGUUCGAGUAUUCCAAAACUUGAGAAGUCUAAAAGUAGUAAACUGCACUUUAUAUUGUUUGUUUUAUCCUCCUUGCAUGGCUAACAUGCUCAUAAGUCUUGAGGCACUUGAAGUUUCUGUGUGCUCAAAAAUGUGUGAAGUUAUAGGUGAGGAAGAUGAAGAGAUCAGCCAAGAAGAUAAUACUCGGCAUCAUGAUGUUGGAAAACGUAGAGAAAUUGCACUGGAAAGAACUAGCAAGGAGUUCGUGUUUCCUAGAUUAAGUUUUUUGCGGUUGGCAUUCCUUGAGAAUCUUCGAAACUUCGGUGGUAGUCACCGGGAGGAUUAUGAGUUCAAAUUUCCCCUACUCACUAACUUGAUCAUAGAGAGUUGCCCAAUGUUGAAGAAAUUCUGUUCCGGAAAUUUGGAUGCACCGUUGCUUAAGAAAAUCCAAACAACGUCGAGAGAUGUAGAGAAUUUUGAAGCUCCCGUGGAUUUAAAGGUACUAAUAUCCUAACUCUAUUUUCAACCAAUCCUUUUAAUUUUGUCUCACUUAACUAGACUUAUUUCCCUAAGGGUCGAGAAUGUAUAUUUUGAAUAAUUAUUGCUGAGCAUAUUAUAUUUUACAGGAUCGAAAGAUUUGUAAAAUUACAGCGUAUAAUAAGGUAUAAUAAGGUACGUGCCUUUUUAUAUGCUUACAAACUUUAUCUUUUCCCUUUCUUUAUAAUUACAAGCCGCAAUAUGUAUACUUUUGAUCUAUAUGAAUAAAUCAAUGAACGGUAUUACAUGAUUAUGGAAUAUCAUUGAUUACAAAGCUAUACGAACUCUCACGGAAUUUUCCAUUUGGAUGUUGAGGUAAACACCAUUCUAUAUGCUUACAAACUUUAUGUUUUUCCUUUCUUCUAAUUUUGUCUUUACGUUUUUUUUUUUCAUUUUUUUUGAGGUGAAUGGAACUUUUGAUCUUCUAUUAAUCAAUCAGAUUCUAUUCUCAUGUAGCAUUAUUCAUUGAUUCUUACUAUCUAUGAACUAUACUUCUAUAUUGAGUUUGUAUUGUAGGUUUUCUUAUCAACUUUUUUUAAUCUAAACAUUACUAUUUCAGAGUAAAAGAUGUUAAAUCUUGUUUCUGUUUUGGUUUUGCUUAUAUUUCUUGCGAUGUAUGCAUUUUUAUGAAUUAUUCUUCUUUUCAUUUUUUUGAAAAUAAUUUCCACUGUGAAAAAUUACAGCCUUUAUAUCUCAGCUUUCAAAGCUCCAAUCUCUUCAAAGAUAUAAAGUUGAAUGUUCCAUGUAGGAAUCAGGGGGAAAAAAAUCCAGAGUAGAGAAAGCGAAAAAUAAACUGGAGCUACACAAACCUGGUGUCAAAUUGAUGUGGGAACUCCAAUGUAUUAUACCAUCUAUAUUUGUUUUGGACAUUAUGACAGAGUUAUAAUAUUCAUGCCUCUGUUUUCUGUCACAGAAUGUUGUGGGAACCAUCAAGUUGAUCGAAUAAUGUGGUCUAGUUACCACAGUCUUGACUGAACUGGUGGAUUGGGCUAUCAGAUAUGGAUGGAGAUCUUAACACACAUGGUUAAUACUAUAAGUGUGGAACUUAUAUAAGUUUUGUGUGCUUGCUUUUGUCAUUGAUAUUCAAAUAAUAAGCAUAUUGUAUGUAUGUAAUGUAUCAUGACUAUCAAAUAAUAAAUGCAUUGUAUGUAUCAUAUCAUGGACUUUAAACAAAAAGAAUGAAGCUUUUUUUUCCUGUGGAUCUAAAGGUACAUACAUACAUCCUAAUUCUCCUGACAAUUCUUUUUUGGAUGAUCGGUGAGGCUAAGAUCAUUGUAAUCUUCCUUGAACAUUCUGAUGAAUGUCUUGGCUCCCAUCAUGAUUAGUCUCUCUACCAUAAAGAGUUGAUAUUUGUUUUCAAUUACUGGAUUCAAGAUGCUGCUGCAGUUUGAUGAGUAUGCCAAGUUGUACACAGUGCAAUCCAUCCAUGUUGAACUCUUCUUGUUCAAUCUAUGCAACAAAAUUACAGAAGUCGUGAAGACAAUAAAAAUCAAACACUAGUUGAACAACAUAAAAUUUUUACUAGAUCUAAACAACAUAGCGAGGAUUGCUAGAUCUCUUCGUGAGAAACUUGGAGCUUGAGAUAUAUCAGAUAGGUGAUAUAGAGAAAAAUAAGGAAAACAAGGAUGGGAAAUUAAUCUUACCAUAUGUAUUUAUUUACAGUGUAGUCGCACAGUCAUAUUCAAAUAAAAAAAAAAACCAAAUAUGGCUGAUUUAGCACAAACCGUAAAUUUGGUUGAGAAGAACUCCAAGAUCAAACGCACUCCAUUAAUUGUAAACCACACAAACAAAUACAAAGAAGAAAGGACAAUUUUCUAGUCUUCCAACCCAUAUGAUGUCCUGAUCAGGAAAUGUUAAACCAAACAGGAAAGAUUAACAUUACUAAAUCACUUACAAUACAGUCAAAGGAGUAUUUGUACAUUAGAUAACCAUGAGAAAAGACACAAAAGGGUAAUGAUACUUUUCCUGAGUAGCUUAGCACAACCAAGCUACAAUUCAAGAGGAAAAAUUUUCCACCUAAAAAGUGACUCCUGGCAGAAAGAAAAUUGACACAAGGAACGGUAUUAGAACUCAUAAAACUACCAAGGCAAAAAAAUUUAUCUAAAUAUUUGACAAGUAAAAGGCCUUUUUCUUUUUCUUUUCUUUUUUUUCAAGGGGGGUUUGCAAAGGAUAUACAAAAUUUUGAUCUACUGUUACUCCCAAGAUGACAAUCAUAUAAAGUUCAGAAGGAUCAGAGUGGAAGGUAAUAUACCUUGAGGCAAGAUGGGCAAGAUGGUCCUCUCAUUUGAAGCAAUAAAAAAGGUUUGUUCUGUGGGACCCAUUUUGCAAUUCUGCAGGAAAUAAAUUCUUGACGGGUAUCCCCAUCAAGAUAAGGAUACCAAGACCGAUCAAUGCCGAACCUAUCCUUAUGAGUUUUCAAUUUAUCACCUCAUCUGACAUGGAUAGCAUCACAAUCACCAGGAAGCACCUUAAUCUGUACAAAUAACAAUGGGAAACCUCACCAAUCAUAUUAAAUGUCAAUCACUUAAAAACAGAAAAUUUUAAAGCAAAGCAAUGUUAUAACUGACUGCAAUAGAACACUAGCCAUUCGAAAGCAUCAAUGAUGUCAUAUUAGAGCUUUUGGCUCACAUAAAGAAGGUAUUGAAACAGGUGCCCACAUAUGGAUGACAUUUGACCACAAUUAGGCAAAGUGACAGAUGAACCAAACAUGCGUAUGAAACUUCUCUAAAUACAUGUAGAACACAAAGGUACACCCAAAACUUUUUUUGGUACACACUCUUGACUCUCCAACUGUAAAUGCAACACCAACCAAUGAUCAGCACCUCUGACAAAAAUGGUUUGGGGCAUACACAAACAGCUAGCAGAAAAGAAUGGUUCUGAAACAAAAAGAAACUCACUGUCAUAUUUGAACACCAAGGUUCAUUCUCAGAUCUCCUAUCAAAUAUUCAAGCCCUACACUGUGCACCAAAAUUAUAAUCAACCAACCAACCAAAGGAGCCCACUAAUAAAGCAUGCAGCAGCAGUGAAAUGGCAAGCCUUCUUGUACAAAUUUCAAGUGUAACUCACAAGCACAAUACAGUCUCUCUGUGUGGUGAAUUAUCACCCUCAUCUAUAUGAUUAAGCCAUAUAAAAGAAAGAAAUUACUUAUCAAGGACUCUCACUUGCCCCUUGACAUGUAUGCUGGACUUCUUUCAACGCAAAGAGCACGUGACGCACCUAUUACGAGUGGUGCCAAACAUUAACAGAGAACCUGUGCUUACCCUGACACUAGUGUUCAUUUACAUAUGUAGAAGCUUCAACUGUCAGACAGGAAAAGGAAAUAUUAUUUUUUCUAAAAAAAAUUAAAAGUUCACAACUUGUUUACCAAAAGUGACAAUGCACCUUACAACUAAUUGCAGUAGUCAAGCUUUUAUGACAUUAAUGUUUACCCUGCCAGGGAGUGGUGAAUGGUAGAAAUAAUCAGUCUUCUUAAAGUCCCAUCACCAAAAUGACUACAAAAGGGGAACAUAUUUCAAACUUCUUGUAGAAGCACCAACCAGAAAUCUUCCAAUGGGAAUAGCAACUUUACGUAUCAUUAAGAUAUCAUGACCAGUUUUUCCAAACAAGAUCCACAGUAUUCUCAACAUCAAGUUUACUACAAGCCCGGGUUCUACUCUUUUCAAUAAUCCAAACUAUGAUAGUCAACUCAAGAAAGCAACGAUACAUUUGCAGUGUGCAAAUAAUGUAACGAGCAUAUAAAUUUUGGCUACCAAACAUAAGGACAACUUAUCGACUAUCUUCCCCAUAAUACUGAGCAAAACACAUUUAUGCAAGGACAUUAUUAUGUGUCACAUAUAUGGCAAGACCAUUGUGUUCCCAUAUUUGACAGAACCUUUUUUCUUUCCUCUUUUUUUUUUUUGAUUUGUUUUGUUUAGUUUUGUUUCUGUCUGUUCUUUUCCUCUUCAGCUAUAGGAGAGGAAGGAAAGGGGAAAACUCAUGGCAAUAAUUCCCCGUAUCAAAAAAGUUCACACCAUAUAUAGCACCUUCAAGAGAUCAUCAACAGAAAUAUAUGCAAUGCUCCUAUCAUGUCCAAAUUAGAUUAGCAAGAACAUGGAAAAAUAAGGUUGUGUUUGGAUUGCAUUUUCCGUCAUUUUUCAUGGAAAAAUUACUGUAGCGAUUUGAUAUAUGUGAGGGAAAAAGGUAAUAGGGAAAUGUGAUCACGGAAAACGAUAAUAUUUUCCGACGAAAACCUUCAAUCCAAGCAAAGCCUAAAUUGCCACAUUGUAAUUGUACAUUUACAAAAAUGACCAAAAUCAACUUAGAGUACAUAAUGGAUAUAAUAGUGUGUUUGGAUAGUAGAUUAUUUGGGAUAAUUUUUUGAAAAACUACUGUAGCACUUUUUUGAUGUGAUUUAUGUGAGAUAAAAAGGUGGUUGAAAAAUGUGUUGAUGAUGCAAGAAAAUAAAUUUUGGCAAAUAAUUCACUAUCCAAAUAAACCAUAUAUUAUAAUGCAUCAAAUUUAAAAAUCAAGAAUGGCUAACAUACAGAGUUUGAAAGUUGGAACAACUCUUAAUUUCUUGAUGGGCUCUUUGAAGACCUUCAAAAUCAAAAAUCAACCGAUCGACAUUUUUUACAUCCACUUUUAGACAAUAAUGAAGUUAGUUUUCAGCCUAAAUGUAAGCUUGUAAUUAAGCUUACUUACACAAUUUACAAGAACCAAUGAAGGCAGCGCUCUCAGACAAUUAAGAGACUCCAAUUAGUUAGUAGACUCUGAACGAGUAUUAGUUGAUAUAAAACUUGUCAUAAACAAUUAAAGUACCAAGAGGGCUAGAAUUAGACCAAAAAAGACUUCUUGAUUAUUUAACUAACCCGAUGGUGGGAAUUUUUCCAAAGCAACCUGAAUUGCUUCAGUCUAAAGCUCACAUUUAAAGAGAAGUUUAUUCUUCUUUAUCUACAAGCCACCUGACUCUCAGGUUAGAGCCAAGAAGUGGUCCGAUUUUUACAUCAUAGGCAGCUAUAGUGCAAACUUUAGAAUCAUGUCAUUCCAAGGUCUAAAGCUCGCACUGUGUACUUGAGACCACGAAACAAGACCCCAAAACAACUCAACAAAUGAUUAGAAAAGUAUAUUACAAAUAAAAGAAGGAAAAAAAGAAAAACUUAAAACUCCAGAAUAUAGCCUCCACUUAAUUAUGUUUUAGCCUGUUGCUAAACUUAAGUAUCAUAAACAUGAGUGGGUAAGGUCCUGCUUUGUCAAACACUUGAAAACAUUACCAUGAUAAGUGGGUAAGUUAAAAACAAAAUAGCAAGGCAAACUUUACCAAUUGCAUGGGCAUAAACCAGAAAAGAUGGUAUGCUAAUAAGAAGAGUGUUAUCUGCAAACAAGUUAAAUUUCUAGGACAAGGGAAAGUCCCACAGCACAAUAAUUCGUGUUUCAACGGUCACUGAUAAUAAUGACAGGAAACAGAAAAUGGAACAAAAUACUGCAUAUAGCACCAUGAACCAACCUUUUCUGCUCCAAUCUUCGACUUCAUGCCAGCCACUAAAGGAAGAAAAUAAUAUGACGAGAAUAGCACUACGGUUAUUCUGAUCCUUGCACUUCAUGAACUUGAAUGAUUACCAUGAUUAAUACCUACAAGAAAUUUAUCAAGAUUCAAAAAACUAAGUACAUUGAGCUUCACAAAGAAAUUUUUGCAAUGAAAUUGUAAUCCUCAUUGAACCUAAACUUAGAGGUAGAAAGGGAAUGACCAAACCAAGCACCAUUCAACAAGUUAAAGGGCUAAAAAUUAACCCAAAAACAAUAUUAAAAGAGCCUUCAACAUUAUGUAACAAAAUCCUAAAGAUUGAUCAUUCUUAAACAAAUAAUUGAAUGCAAGAAGGAUGGAGAAUGUUUAGAACAAAGCAAAACAAAAGGCAGUACAGAAGUGAAAUUACCAUGACAGAGACAUUGCUGUUCGAUUUACGAGUAAAAUAUUCGAAUACAAACUUUUUGAUCUGAGGUCCUCCCGGCCACAUUGGCAGUCCCUCAGGAUUCCAAUUUCUUGCUUGUCAAUAGCACCCGAUUCCACUGUUAUUAGCCAUUUCUGAUAUGAGAUCAAGAUAAUACAAGGAAUACAUUGAGCAAGAGCUAGCUGCCCACCUAACAAAUAAAAUUAAAAAAUGUAGAUUAAUCAUUAAAUGGCCACUAUUUACUGACGUAUGUUAUCAGGCACUUAAGGAAAAUACAAAUGGAAUAAAAUAAACAAAACUCACAAAAAUUUUCAGCUGCAUCAAUUUGUUUUACUCUUUGUUGUUUCAUUUUUGUUUUAAAAGCAUAUGUAAGCAAUUAGUGAUACUGGAAAACUCGACAUCUUGCAUCUUUUGGUUCAAACAAGUAGCACCUGGAACAACUUCUGUCUUACCUUUUUUUCUUAUAUUUUUUUUUUUUCCUUUGAGUGCAAGAGGCCAGAGUUUGCAGUGAUGCUAAAUGCUAGUCUUCACCAGAACAGAACUUUGUUCUGAACUGGCAUCAAUUGACUGGUGAAGAAUCCCUUUCUUGUUGUGUAUUGGAUUGAUGCACAUUCUAGAGGAAUUACAAAGGUUCUUAAACAUAUAAAAGGGGCAAAACACAGGAAUGAGUAGGCUUUUUUUUCUUUGCAAAAUUUUGGUCUAAGAAAGGAACAAAAACUUGGAAUGCUAAGACCACCAAUUGUCAAAACAAAUGGUUUUCUUGUGCUUGAGCGAGCAAAUAGAGUCAAAGAGGCCAUGAAGUGGAAGGUCCACGAAGCCUGAAAUCCAGUAGCACCAAAGCAUAAAGCUAGCUGCUGCAAGUCUUUUAAAGAUUACAUCCAUAAAGACAGACUUCCAACUGAAUGUGGAAACAGGUCCUCCAAGUGCAAGACACUAAGAAGAAUGGAAAGUCUUAAAAUGCUGAAUUUUGCCAGGGUAAGCUAAAAUCUCGGAAGUCAAAAUGCAGAACGUGCAGGUGUUUUUGUCAUAAUUGUAGAUCAAGUCCAGCUAAAAUUUUCAUUAAUAUGUAACUAAAGUUGCAAGCUACCACAGCUCACCAUGUUCUGGUUUAUCUCUGUAUGCUAAAUUUCAUCAGCUAACCUCAUAAUCUUGCAAAACCUCAAAUAAUAUUUUAAAUCAUAAAACAACAUUCAAGGAAUGCAGUGUGAACUUGUGUCACCCAUAAUUAGUACUCUAAAACUCUCCUCUUCAAUUACAAGUUCCCGUCUUUCCCAACAAAUCCCUAGAGGAUUAUGGGACUAACAGUAAAUUCAAAUCCAAUAAUACAUACUCAGGUGAAAGCAAUAUUCUUCUACUCCCCUAGGCACAGAAUUCAAUUGAAGGCACUUAAAUCUCCAUUGCAAUUUUCAGACAUCACCCUCUUUCCAAAUGAUAAAAUCUAUAACUUUCUCAAUCAAAUUCGCUCAGAAAAAGGGGGAAAGGAGAAUAAAAUGGAGGAUGGACAUUUCUUUUAUAUCAGUAAUAACAACAGUACUUGCCAAGAGAAAAUCAAUCUAUCUCAAGGUAAACUAAACCAGAUUUAACAAUUCACUUCUAGUUAAUACCAAAAAAUGAUGCAGCUUUCCACUUUGUCAAUACCAAACCCAUCUUACAACCAAUCAGAGUCACAAACGGAACACAUUGUAUGCCUUCUGUGUAAGCAAAUUUUCUUACAAUACUAUUAUGGUAGUACACUUGUACUUUGUGUUGCCAAUGUUGUAUAUAACCAUAUCUUUCCUGAUCAGUAAAAUUUACAACUUUCUGAACCAAACUGAGUAACAGAAGGGGACAAAGAAACAGGAAAAUCAAAGAGAGAUGAACAUUCUUCUAUAUCGAUAUUAUAUGCAUUUCACUUACCUAGAAAAAACGGACCAUUUUAAGACAAACUACAUCAUAGAUAAAGAAUCAGUUGUACAUAACACUGCAAAAAGAUGCAGAUCUCUCUCUUCUUCAAAAUUAGAUCCAUUCUAUAUCCAAUCAAAAUCACCAAUAGACCCAUAAUAGAUAUAAUGUAUAAGCAAAAUUCUUUAAUCAAUAACAUAUCGAAAUUCACUUGUACUUUUGCCAAUGUUGUACUUUACCAAUACCUUCUAUCAUGAACCUUCAUCCUUCCAAUUGGAUAAUGAACCAGAAGAGAUAAAAACGCAAAAAUUUCAAAGCCAUGAAUAAUCAAGAAUAUUCCUCUCAUUCUCCUUAUAGUAACGGAUCAGCCAACUCUCCUCUCCCCUCUCAAAUUUUUAACACAUCCAAUCAAAAUCAUCAGCAAAUCCAGUAAUAUACAUGCUAUACGACCAAAACUCUUCCUCUAUUACCAUUAUAGCAUCUCUCUUGUACACUGCUGACAAGAUUGUACUUUGAUAUAUCAUGCACAAUAAAGCUCCAUAUUUUACAGCCAAAACCCCUCCAAAACGAGAAUUAACAUAGUAAAGUAGCAAAAGAACAAAAACCCACUAGUCCAACCAUUCAUAUAAUCAAGAUUAUUUUGUUUUCUCUUUUUGUAUUUUUACCCCCAAAAAAAGGUAUUUACCUCUGAAGAUACAUUAUUGCUUCCUCAAGAGCACGCCUGAGGCUGGAUUGCUGGUGGGCAAGACCUUCACAAGACUUGCAGUGCUUCCCAGGACAGUCAAUUCUGUUGCCCCAAUACACGUACUUCUCAGAAUCUCUAUGAUUCUUAGCAUUUUUGCUUUGCAUACUUGUUCCUGUGGUGGAAUAAAAGAAUCCUUUUGUGGAAAAGAAAGAAGAUGCAAGGUAGAAAACAGCAAUGCAGCCAAUCGUAAGAAUGACAAGAAUAGAAGAUCUGGGUACCGCUAGUGAUUUGUCCAAAUAUUUUUCAUUGAGGUUUCUUCAAUUUUAGUCAUGUAUUUUUUUUCCAAAAAUUCGUAUUACCAAUUAUUAUCCUUUUUUUUUAAAUAUACAAAUUAUUACCUAUUUGCGUUAUAGUUUUCAAAGAAAAUUUUGUUUUCUAUGAAACAUUUUUCAAUCACUUUUUACUUUACAUAUAUCAGAAUACAUUUCUCAAUCACAUUUUAUUUUAUAUGUAUCAAAUUAUUACCAAAUAUUUUUCUAUAAAAUUUUCAAAAAAAUCAAGUCAAAUGGUCUUUUAACCCAAAGUACACUUACCUUUUGUUAUUUAUGAGUCAUGACAUCCAAAACCCACAAUCGAAAAUAAUGGAAUAACUACUAGCCAAAUUACAUUCUAUUUAUAAUAUAUUUUUCUCAAAUGAAAUUUCUCCAAGUUAUGGAAACAAUUGGAUUCUAGCCUUUGAAUAGCAAAGUGUUCAUAUAUAAAUAAAAAAAUGCCAAUUUAAUUCUUGUAAGUUAGACAAUCUAACAUUUAACCCCUUGUAGCUUUUAAAUUUUAGCGUCGAUUGGGAGAUUUGGCUCCAUUAAAUUCUCUCGCCAUUUUUAUAAUGCACAUUUAGAUACAUGAUACGUGUUUUCAAUUGCUAAUAAGAGACAUUAUUAUUUUAAAUUUGACUAAUUAUAAUCCUUUAUUAAUAAACAAAGACACAUGUUAUACAUCCAAAUAUGCAUUGCGAAAAAUGGAGAAAGAAUCCACGAGAAAAGAGCCAAAUUUUCAGUUGGAGGAUUUUGACUCCCCUCCAAUGGAUUCUCUAUCCAUUUCCUACAAUGCACAUCUAGGUGCAUAACACGUGUCUUUAUUUAUUAACAAAGGUUAGGAUUAGUUAAAUUUAAAAGGAUCAUAUCAUUUUAUUUAUUAACAAGGAUUAGAAUUAGUCAAAUUUAAAAUAAAAAUCUUCUAAUUCUAAUCUUCAUUUAUUAGGAAAGAAGAUUUUUCUUUUGAAUUUGACUAAUUCUAAUCCUUGUUAAUAAAUGAAAUGAUAUGAUCCUUUUAAAUUUGACUAAACCUAACCUUUGUUAAUAAAUAAAGACACGUGUCACACAUCUAGGUGUGCAUUGUGAAAAAUUGAGAGAGAAUCUACUAGAUAGGAGCCAAGCCGUCGGUUGGAAGAUUUAGCUCCUCUUCAAUGGAUUCUUUUUCCAUUUCCUAUAAUGUACAUCUAGAUGCAUGACAUGUGUCUUUAUUUAUUAGAAAAGGACAUGAUCAUUUUAAAUUUGAUUAACAUAACCCUUGUUAAUAAAUAAAGACAUAGUGUCAUACAUCCAAAUGUGCAUUGCAAUAAAUGGAGAGAGAAUCCAAUGGAAAAGAGCCAAAGCCGCUGGAUAGCUGUACUUACAAAAAACACAUGUACCUAAAAUACACAUUUAUAAUAAACACCUCAUAGAAUAUUACUAAAAACACCCAAAAACAUCUAAAAAUAUCAAAAAAUUACUAAAAAAAACAAAAAAAAAAGAGAGCAAAAUACAUAUCAACACACACACCUCAUCAUCAUCACUCCUCCCCUCUCCACCAUUAUAUUCCUUUCCUAUUAGGAACCUCUAUUGAGCCAAUAGCCCUAUUGUCCAUCACCUAUCCCCACCUUCAUUGCAACUUCUCCCAUCCAUCCUCCUUUUCUUGCUCAUCAACCCCCUAACUUCUAUGAUGGAGAGGAAGGAGGUUUGGCGAUAAGAGAAAGGGGAUAGGGGUUUGACAAUGGAAAGGAAUGGCUGGUGGGGGAAAGGAAAGGAGUGAAUAGAGAGAGGACCUCAUGGUCAGGGGUGAGAGAGGGAAAGAAGAUGAGGACAGAGAAGGGAUGGCAAGUCCCAAGGGAAAGAGAGGUAUUCCAAAAAUAUCUCAAAAACUCUAAAAACAACUUAAAGCCUCACAUCUACAAAGUUUUUAAAAACAUAUUAUUAUCAUUAUCAUUAUCAUCAUUAUUGUUAUAAAAGUUAUCAUGUGUUUUGGUACCUUUGAAUGUUUGCAUUUUUAUGAUCUUAGUUUUUGUUAUCCUAAUUGUGCCCUUACUAAUUGAUGAUUAAUGUUCUAUAUUCCACUCUUAUAAUUUAUGAUGAUUUAAAUUCAUUCUAGAAAAUAUUGGUUGAUGAGAAGACAAAACAUUAAUUGAUGAUUAUGUUCACUAUAUUGCGUCAUACCAUUUUAAUUUAUAAAGAAAAAUCUCCUUAAACUUGUAAACACAAAAUGAGUUGAGAAAUGUUCAGCAAAUAGAUGAAUUAUAUUAGUUGUAUCCAUCCAAUUCAAACAAAAGGGAAGAAUUUUGUAUGUCACACCCAAUGUGACGAUUUUACUUUAGAACAAUGAAUCCUUGUUAGUUAGAAGUAUAAGAAAAAAAAUUGGUUUUAGUUUUUAUGAUUCCAAAAUUACUAUUUUCUUCAAUAAUAAAAAACAUUUUAUUGCAUUUCAAUAAUAAUCAAUAUCAAUUAAUAUGAUUCAUGAAUACGGUUACAGCGAUGAAACGUCCCUUUGAGUGAUGGCGUAUAAAAACUCAAAUACUCAUGUUAAAAGAUAGUCUUAUAACUGAAAUAGCACUAUACAUCAUUUACAAGUCAAUAUUAAUCGUAAACAAAAGAAAAAAAAAGAAACACUAAAAAAAGACCAAAACUAAAAGAAAAAAAAUAAUAUUACAUAAAGAAUGAUAAAUGUUACCCAAAAAAAUUGCAAAAUUCAAUUCAGUUGUCAUAAAAGAGAACAUUAAGAUCACCCAAAUCGAGCAAAAAUAUAAAAAAUAAAUAUAGAUGUAAAUGUAGAUACUUUUUCACUGGGAAAAAUUCACUUUUCGUUUUCAAACUUUGAGUUAGAGACACAUUUCAUCCUCAAAUUUUUAGACGCAUCACAUUUAGUAAAUAAAUUAAUUAUUUUGGGCCACAUUUAAUCCAAAAAUGGUAAAAUAUUCAAUUUGGAUGGAGAAAACUGAUGUGGCGUUGAUUUUGACUGAAAAUUUUUUUUUUACUUAACGGCCACGCGCCAAACACGUGACUUUCUCUAUACAAAUUAAGCAAUUUACCAUUUUUGGACUAAAUGUGGCAAAAAAUAAUUAAUUCAUGUACUAAAUGUGGUGCAUCAAAAAGUUUGGGAAUGAAAUGUGUCCUUAACUCAAAGUUUAGGGACGAAAAGUGGAUUUUUUCCCUUUUUCACCAAUAGUACCAGCUGUCUCAGUCAGAUUAAAGUGUUUGUGUAAUUGGUUUUAGUUUUCAAUGAUGUCCAAAGUAGUCUACAUAAAAUGACACAAAGAAUGACAAAAAGUGACAAAACGUUGAAAAAUUCAACUCGAAUGAUGGAUGUUUUGAUACCGAAAGUAUCAAUAGUCUUAGAUUACAGUGUUUGUAAAAUCUAGUCUUAGUUUUUAGUGAUGGCUUAAGUACUCUCUUCUCGAAUAAUGUUCAUGCACUUUUCAUCCUGGGUGAGUAACCAAUUUCAUCCUCAAAUUUUCAACAAGAACACAUUUAAUCCUCAAACAUUAUCAAUUUUGGUUAAUUUAGGACAAUUGACAGAAAACUCUUGAAACUGGAUAGAAAGUAGUCACGUGAGAAGCGUACUCCGUUAGUUUAAUUUAUUGCAGCCAAUAAAAUGGGGAAAACUGUCUUUUUUUUUUUAUUCGUGUCUCCUUCUUUCUUGAGUAUAUGCUCUAUUUUUUCUAGCCCUAAGUUUUGCAGGCAAAGUUUCAUCAUGCUCAAUACCUAUUAUUCUACUUGUAAUAGCGAAGGCCAUGGAGAACCUAGAGUGCUAAAAUAAGAAGAAGAAGUUCUGCUUCUUCAAUUUCAUCAACACGUGUCUGUAAUUGUGGAUUGAGGACAAAACUAACAACUUGUUAGCAGGGCAACAUUUUGAAAGAAGAUUUCUUAGUUGUUCUUUGUGGCCAGUAAGAACUCAUUGUACUAUUGACACACCAGUAAAACUUUGAUUUUAACAAAUUUUUGAAUUAUGUUUUAUUAGACUCGACAGGUGCAAGUAUUUUGAUAGGUUGAUGAGGAAAUUGGUCCAAGAGGAAGGGUACUUAUACCUGGUUUGCCAAAAAGGGUGAAUAAGUUGGAAGAAAUAGUUGAAAAGAUACGAAAGAGGGAGAAAAUUUUCAUCAUCAUUAUUGUGGUCCUAAUGGUGUUGUUGGCUUUGAGUUAGAGGAGAACAAGCAAAGCAAAUGGAAAGUGGGGCAAGCUGUUGCUAAGUCUAGUAAGAAAUGUUGCUAAAUUUGCCAGACUGAGAUUGUAUUUUGUGGAAACAAAUGUUUUGCUAGAAUGCUAGUUCGAUAAUCCUUUGUUUGUAAGAGGUAGGAUUUAGGAUAAACGUAGACUAAAGUAGCAGCAGAGAAGUAUGAAAACCAGCUGUUGAUUGAUCAAUUAUGUACAUUUUACGUAUGGAAGUGGACAUUUUCUGUUUGUAAGGAAGCUAUUUUGUGUAUGAAAACUUGGUGAAAUCUCAAUUUUGUCAUAUGAUUCUGGUCACAUAAUUUGUUCCCAAUUUCGUACAAUUGCAAUCUCAAUUCUGAUAAUAGUUACACGUAUAUAUUCUUAAUGAGUUGUAUCCUAUUGAGUUGGGGACCAUAAACAAAAGUAAAUCCAAAGUCAAUAAUGAGCUAAUCCCUAUUUUACAUAUAGUAGUGUUCAACAUGAUUACAAUGAGAUCCCUAUUGUGGGGGUGACCGAUCAUUUAAUUCCUUCUUUUGUAAGGACAUUUUUCUUCAAUGGGGGUUCUACAUGGAUCCACUUUCACCAAUCUUCUAGCUAGUAGCUAGCCGAUUGUCCGAUUGAUGUCAGUGAGAAUAUUGGAAAAGUUCUUCAUUGUUAAAAAAAGACAAAAGAAUUAAAAAGAAGACAAUUUUUUUCUUUUUUGUUGGCUGCAAUAAAUUACACUAAAGGAGCAUGCGUCUCAUGUGACUACUUUCCAUCCAAUUUCAAGAGUUUUCUGUCAAUUGUCCUAAAUUGACCAAAAUUGACAAUGAUUAAGGACUAAAUGUGCUAUUGCUGAAACUUUGAGGACGAACUUGGUCCCUCAUCCAAACACUAGGGAUGAAAACUGCAUUUCCCCCUAAUAUUCAAUAAUGGUAAUUGUGACAAAAAAUGAAGCAGCAAAUUUGAAUUAUGGAGACAAUUAAAAUAAUAAAGCACUUUUAUCUAAAACUGUCCUUUUGCGUUUUACUCCCAAUUUAUCAGUUAAUGAAAAAUUCUUGAUUAUCCACAAUUGUAAUUCCAAUUCCAAGAUCAUCAGAAAUAUAGAUACUACAAAAAAAAUUAUUAAUAUAGAUACUAAAAAAAAGGUGAUGCUAGAAUCAAAAAGUUGUUGUUGCUUAUGCUUAAUUUGUGAAAAUAAAGAAGGACAACUAGCUAACGAUUCAAAGGCAUCUACAAGAGUGAAAGAAAAAGAAAAAGAGAAAAAAGUUAGAUAAAUAUUUCAAAUUAUCUAAUCUAUUGACAUAGUAUAUGAUCAGAUGAUUAAUUGGACUAUAUAAUGAAUGUAAAAUAAAUAAUUUAGUAGGUCUAUAUGAUACUAUUGUUAAAGUAUGAUGGUUGUUCAUAAUAUCUAAAAAAGUAUUAUAUUUUAGGAUAAUACAAUCACAUGUAAAAUAUGUGAAGUAUUACUAGUUUACAAUAAAUUCUCUAAAAACACUCCAAAAAGAAAAUUUUAACUCAAACAGGCUCUCAAAUUUUGCCAGCAUGUGUUCUGGACCAACAGGUGAUUAAACAAUAAUUUUAAAUUUUAAUUGGGCUUACCUUCUUGAUUUUUCUGGGGGUGAUUUUAAGAAAAUUUUAUUGAAGCAUGUUCCUUAAUUUAUAAGUGUGUUUCUACAAUAAAAAUGUGGUUGAGUUUGUCUUCUAAAUGGGCAGAAUCUAAAAUAUAUAUUGUUCAAUAGAGAUUUUUAUGGUAUUACAUUACACAAGUGGUCACUGAAAGUUGCUAUAGAACUGCUGGAAGUUUAUUCUUACAAAAAAAUUAAGUCUUGACACCAAUAUAAAUACUAAAUAAUAAUCAAAACUAAAACAUUUUCACCCUUUAAAUUCAAUUCUACGAAGCAGAUAAGUCGCAAUGCUUAUUUUUAAUUAUUUUUUAAUAGUUCCUUAGUGUCGCAUGCUGCUAAUUUUGGUCAUAUAGUAUAGUGAAACGUAUUACCUUAAACUUUUACUAUUGCACAUGGCUUUACUAUUGAUCUAUCUUUAAAAAAAAAAAUUACAAGGAUCUUACCCUGUUUCAUAUUUUCCAAACACUUUUCCGGACUUGAUAAUUGUACAAAACUACUACGCUUUUCCUGACGAACUCAUGUUCUCAUAUUGGAUAUUGGUGACAUAUAGAACUUUCGUUCCUUGUGGAUAUUUUGAUUUCUAAUUAUGCUUUGGGAUGCUUGAUUGAAUUAUGCCUUCUAUAUGUGGGCGAAAGUUGCAAAGAAUUUUUGUAACAGCAUGACACUUUUCGGAUUACAAUAACAGGUUUUUCUUCAUUCAUUAUUGUGUCGAAUAGCUAUUCUUCUUAGCUGUUGUAAUUUUUUAAUUUAGUCCCAUUUCAAGGUUAUGAUGACAAAUUUGUCCAACUAAAAUAAGUUGAACAAACUGAAAUGCUUCCUUUUCACUUUACUGUGCAAUCCAUUGUAGGAGCCAAAAUGAGGACAGAGCAUAUGAUUCCAGACGCCAAAAUCCAAAUGUGAGAGAUUUUUUUUCUGGAAAGAGGAGAAAUUAGACGAACAGGAAGUAGUUAACUGCAUCUGAAGUUCCUUGAAGAAGGGAAACCAGAGCCGAAACAGAUGGGAGUCCAACCAAUAUAGUUCGAACGCUCAAGAAAACAUUUAAGUUAUAGAACUAAGUAAAGAUUUAUUAAGAUGUUAAGGUAGACAGGCUACACAAGCAGAGCCGCAAAACUUACUGCAGCUUUAAGCUAUUUUCUAGUCCUAAAUACAAUUUUAAUAUCUAUCAUCAAUUGUAAGAUCCUCUAAAAUUUUAACGCUGGAGGAAGAGAUACAAGGAGAACAAUGAGCAGGAGCAUACCACUGCAAGAAUAAGCUGAAAUGGCUUUGAACUGACAAAUUUCAGCUACUGCAUUGAAAGCGCCGCCCUGCGACUGCAAUUAACAGAUACUUCUUGCCCUUUACGUGCUAUAUUAACAGUCAAAUCUGUAAUCCUUCGAGAUGCUGCUAAUCUGUUGAUUAAGAGAAGCAUUUGAGGGAUCAAUCUGAGUAGUUGGUGGUUUCAAGCCUUCUGAAAUGUUCAUGAGGAACUCCAUGCAAAAGUCUCACAAAUCCCAAGAUACUGAGUUUUCCAUCAGAAUGCCGUAUCUAGUUCUGCAGAACUACAUGAACCGGGACCGACUGACUAAGUCCGAGAUUCUGUGUAGAAAUUAUAAUUCGGGAGUAGCAUUAAGAAUGCUAUCAUUUAAACAACUACUCAUCAAUCAUAAAGUCAAGUGUUAGGAGAUCCUAUUGCACAGGGCUACGAGGCAUGUACUUUGAUGCUGCAAUUAGCAUGAUGACACAAAGCAGUAUUCUCAACCAUUUCUAAGUAAACCCAUGUAAGAGUGAAUCUGUAUCAGUGGCUAGCUGCUUCUAGUCAAUGCAUUUUAUUACAUGUGGAUUACUAGUUCUAAAGCAAUUAGAGGGAUCACACUUCAGACGUAAAUUUGUACUUUAGAGUGAGAAUUCCCAGUUGUUCAUUUUAGCUAUGAUGGAUCUCUAACACAUCAAAUUCCUAUUGCCCCCUUCAAAUGACAUGUAACAAGUCAUGCUAAUUAGCAAAAUAGACAACCUUUUUAUGAGUUCCCAAAAAGUUGCUCCCAGCUUUCCAUGCCUUCAAGAUGGUGCACAUUUAUUGCAGCUGCACAGAACUCUUCAAAGUCCCAUUUCUGUGCUGAAGAGAACUCAUCUACGUAACAGAUGAAGUACAUUGAGGCAGUGGAGGUAAAAGUAUAUUUGUGGAAUUUAUACAGCUUGUUUUGCCGGUCCUUUUUUUUAAUAAUAAAAUGUAUCUAUGUAUUGUGUUAUGCCCUUUUCUUAAGCAAUGUUAUCUUUUAAUUUUAAAUAAUAAAUGUAUUCUAGAUGUGUCUGGAACUAAAUUCAAAAACUAUGAUUCAAAAACUCAGAGCCUAACAUGAUUUAAGUUCGACUCAAAUUUAAUUCAAACUUAACAUUUAGACCCAAACUCUAUCUAAUCUAAUUAAAAUUAGGUUUACCAUGCUUUUUUUUUUUUGGGCAAGCGGGUUGACAAUCCUAUUUAUAUUUCUUCCAACACUUAUUUUUCUUAAUGAAGAGUUUGUGGAAUACUAUAUUAAAAAUCUUUGUCCCUGCGUCGAAGGCAUAGCACUUUAAUCCUUCAUCACAAUCUUCUGGAACCUGCAGUAAUCUUUGCUACAUGGCAUCUGUACUUUUAUUGUUUUCCACAAGUCAAUGGUGAUUAUAAUUCUUGAUAGGAAAAGGAACCUGCAUUUUUUUUUAUUUUGGAAUUGUAGAACACGUAUUCUCUUUUUCUAAAUUACUAUUCUUUUGCCACCACCCAUUUGCGUGGCUCUACCCCGAUUUGAGUGUGGGAAAUGGUAGUUAUACAUUAUGCUCAAACUUCCAUGACUGCAAGUACACAGGUGGUAUAAGAGCACAAUGAAUAUCUGAAUGUCAAUUCCAUAGUCACUGGGAGAAUUAUGAGUUUAAAUUUUCCCUACUCACUGAGUUGAUCAUAACGAAUUGCCCAAAUUUGAAGAAAUUCUGUUCCGGAAAGUUGAAUAUACCAUUGCUUGAGAAAGUCACAAUGUGGGAAGAAAAAAAGAAUUUUAAAGCUCAUGUGGAUUUAAAGAUACUAAUAUCCUUGCUCUAUUUUCAACCAAUCCUUCUAAUUUUGUCUCACUUCACUAGACUUAUUUCCCUAAGAGUUGAGAAUGUAUUUUAAAUAAUUAUUGCUGAGCAUAUUAUAUUUUACAAGAUCAAGAGAUUUUAUCCUUUAUUGAUCGCAAUAUGACAACAUUAUCGGCAUAUUAAGGUACAUACAUUUCAAUAUGCUUACAAACAUCUUUUCCCUUUCUUUAUAAUUACAAGCAGGAGUACAUAUGCUUUUGAUCUAUAUGAAUAAAUCAAUGAAUUUUAUUACAUAACUGUGGAAUCUCAUUGAUUACAAAUUAUAUGAACUCUCACGGAAUUUUCCACUUGGAUGUUAAGGUAAAUAUCUUUCUAUAUGCUUACAAACUUUAUGUUUUUUCCUUUCUUCUAAUUUUGUCUUUACUGUUUUUUCAUUUUUUUGAGGUGAAUGGAAGUUAAAAUUACAAGUUGCAGUCUGUAUGCUUUUGAUUCUAUUCUCAUGUAGCAUUAUUCACUAAUUUUUACUGUCUAUGAACUAUACUUCUAUAUUGAGUUCACAUUAUUGGUUUUCUUAUUAACUUUUUUUUUUCAUCUAAAUACUACUAUUUUAGAGUAAAGCUAGGCUGUUAAAUCCUGUUUUUCUCUUGGUUUUGCUUUUCUUUUUCUUGGCAAUGUGCACACUUUUAUGAAUUAUUCUUCUUUCCAUUUUUAAAAAAAAAUAAUUUCAUAUAAAAAAAAUAAUUUCCGCUGUGAAAAAUUGCAGCCUUUAUAUUUCAGCUUUCAAAGCUCCAAUCUCUUCAAAGAUAUAAAAGUGAAUAUUCCGUGUAGGAAUCAGGGGGAAAAAAAACCUUGAGUAGAGAAAGCAAAAGGUAAACUAAAGUUGUAGGAGUGUGAUGGCAAAUUGAUGCAUCGUUGAGGCACAGACUCCAAUCCUUCCUAUUUGGAUUCACCGUCUUUUCAAGAAUAGAUUUGAUUUCUUUUAUUGGAAAUCUCAGCCUGCCCACUGGUUUGCGGAUGAUAUGAAAUAGAAACACGAUGGAUGACACCAUAUUUCUUCAUCAAUGCCUCCACUAUGCGAUUACAAAAGUGCUUUCCACGAUCACUAAUAAUUGCUCUUGGUGUACCAAACCUGACAAAAAUGUUAGAUUUGACAAAAUCUACCACAACCUUAGCAUUAUCAGUCUGAGUAGACUUAGCUUCAACCCAUUUGGAGACGUAAUCUACAACAAGAAGAAUAUAUACAUGGCCAAAGGAGGAGGGAAAUGGACCCAUAAAAUCGAUACCCCAUAUAUCAAAUAUUUCGCAAACAAGUAUCGGGGUAAGGGACAUUUGGUCUCUAUAUCCUAAGUUACUUGUCAUUUGACAACUCUCACAAGUCUUACAAAACGUGUAAGAGUCAUGAAACAAAGUAGGCCAAAACAAACCACAUCCUAAAACUUUACGUGCAGUCCUCUUGGGACCAAAAUGUCCACCACAAGCAUAUAAGUGACAAAAAGAGAGAAUCGAAGGAAUUUCCUUAUCUGAAACACACCUGCGAAUAAUUUGGUCAGAGCAAAAUUUCCACAAGUAUGGUUCAUCCCACACGUAAUAUUUAGCAUCACUUUUAAUUUUAUCCUUCUGAGCCCUAGAUAAAUCCUUAGGCAGCGUCUUAGUAACCAAAUAAUUAGCUAUAUUUGCAUACCAUGGAAUUAGCUUAUGAAUGGCAAGGAGAUGUUCAUCUGGAAAAUUAUCUCGUAGAGGUGUGGGUGUCUCACUUAUGACCAAUCGACUGAGGUGAUUCGCAACCAAAUUCUCAGCACCUUUUUUGUCCCGAAUCUCUAAAUCAAAUUCUUGGAGUAGAAGAAUCCACUGUAAGAGUCUUGGCUUUGCCUCCUUCUUGGUGAGCAAGUACUUAAGCACUACAUGAUCAGAAUAGACAAUUACUUUAGUGCCAAAUAAGUAUGAAUGGAAUUUCUCUAAAGCAAAAACUAUAGCUAAAAGUUCUUUUUCCGUUGUCGAAUAAUUGCACUGAGCACUGUCCAGAGUUCUUGAAGCAUAAUAAAUGACGUGAGACACUCUCCCAUUUUUUUGGGCCAAAUACAGCACCAAUAGCAUAAUUACUUGCUUCCAAUGCAUUACCAUGUACAUUCGUUUUGGACACUAUGACAGAGUUGUAAUAUUCAUGCCUUUGUUUUCUUUCACAGAAUAAAUGUGAUCGAAUAAUGUGGUCUAGUUAUUAUAGUCUUGACUGACUGGUGGACUGGGCUAUCGGAUAUGGAUGGAGAUCUCAAUUGGAUUAAUACAAUAAGUGUGAAACUUAUAUAAGCAUUAUGUUUUGCCCUCUUUUAUCAUUGCUUUUCAAAUAAUAAAUGUAUUAUUGUACAUAUUGUACCAUGAACUUUAGACAUAAAGGAUAAAUCUUUUCCUGUGAAUUUAAAGGUACAGAUAUCCUAAUUCUUUUUCGUCUCUGAAUUUGUCUUUCAGUUGCUACGCAUAAUUCUUGUGGAAAUAUCAUUCAAUUCCAUAUUUUUGCUUGGACAAGUUUCUCUUUGUGGCACUUUACAUAGUUCUCGUAGAAAUAUCAUUCAAUUAUAUAUUUGUGCUCUGACAGGUCUGUCUCCGGCAAAAGAAUGAGGUUUUUGUUUAGUUAUUUUUAAGUGAGAGUGUAAUAGAGGUUUGAACCACUAGGAUUGGCUCAGUAGCCAUAGAUGUAUUCCUAUGUGUAUAUUUUUUUUGGCUACCAUAUGCAUGAAUGCUUGUAAAUAUGAAUGCAUCAGUUACCAUUAGUUUGUUAGAGAAUAUUAUUAAUUGACUAGGUUCAAAUUUUUAGGCAAGCCAUCACGAUUUUUUCAUCUAAUGUAAGGUAAGCCCCAAAAAGUUUUUCACCGACGUAUACUAACUUCCAAUGGACUAUAAUUCACAUAUGUGCUAGCGGUAAAGGGAGUUCUCGAAUUGUUUAAACCAUUUAAUGCAACACUGCAUUUUCCUUCCAAGAGGAAGAAGAAGCUCUACAAGCAUUUCCAAAAACCAUAUAAGAAUGACUUCUUACAUGAACAUGAAAUCCUGUGGCAACCCACUUGAAAGCAUUCUUCGAAGAUGUCAAAUAUUGCUGAAACUCCCUUGCGCUGCAUUUCAGAAGUUACAUACAGUGUAAAAGAAAAUAUUAAGCCACAAUAUACAACCCUGAGCUCACCUAAGAUGGAAAAUUUUCAUUGCUCAUAAUUUGUCCAAAGAGCCGCAAGAAUUCAACACGAGAUACAUUAUCCCCUCCAGUUGAAAUCAACAUGCGAUUCUGCUCGUCAUUUUGCUAUCUAACAAGUGAUCUCGAAGGGAACGACUCUUUUCAGAUCUAUUAUGAGUAAAAAGGAUCAGCAUUAAUCUCUUGUGUCCAUUGUAUAAACAGGUAUCUGCCAUGUCCUUGUACUCUUUUUUGGAUCAUCUGUGAGGCUCAGAUCAUUGUCGUCUUCCAUCAUGAUUAGUCUCUCUACCUUAAAGACUUGAUAGUUGUUUUCGACCACUGGAUCCAAAAUGGUGCUGUUAUUUGAUGGGUUUGCCAAUUUGUACCUGAAAUUUAGGAAAAGAGAUGUAUUGGUCAUCCCAAGAUCCAUUAAACUUGACUUCAUUAUAAGGUCAACCACUGUGUAAGCAACAAAAUUACAGAAAUCAUGAAGACAAUAAUAACCAAACAGUAUUACUAAACAACAUAAGCAAAGCUUGGUGUAGAGAAAAAAAAAAAAAAGAGGAAAACAAGGAUUGGGAAAAUUAUCUUACCCUAUGUAUUUACGGUGUAGUUGAAUAGUCAUAUUCAUAUAAAAACCAAAAUGUGGCUUAUUUAGAACGGACCUUAAAUUUGGCUUAGAAGGCCUCCAACAAGAAACACAUCCCAUUAAUGCAAACCGCGCAUAAAAUACAGAGGACGAAGGACAAUAGUCUUCUCACCCAAAAGACGUCUUAAUCAAGAAAUUUUUUUUUUCCCCGAGUUGAACCAAAUAGGAAAGUGAAAUAACAUUAGGAUCGUCAACCAACUAAGAAGGUGGAUAACCAGAAAGUCCUAAAAGUAACUUCAAGACCUACAGCCAAUUUUGCUUUAACACAUUGACUACGCCAACAGGAUGAUAUUCUAAUUAAAGAAAAGGCACCUGCCGAAACAAAUCCUCAGCAAGCUUCUCAUCCUUUGCAGCUGAUUCUCCUGCUCUUAUCUGUCUCUCUUCCCCCCCCCCCCCCCCCUUUCCUAAUCAUUGGAUAUUGGUUGUGUAUUAGAAUUAUGUGUAAUUCCUAGUGGAUGUUUUAUUAAAUGAAGUUUGGAUUGGUUUUUGUGAGGAUGCUUUAGUUUAUUCUUAAUUCUACCUUGCAUAAUUUGAGAAGACCAACGUCAGUGUCUCACGUUUUCUGCUAAUAAUCCUAUUUCCUCCGUUGACAUCCACGAUUAUGAUGAAAAGGAAUGGUUUGUUACCCUUAUAUGUUUAGAUGGUAGAUUAUUUGAGAUGUUAUUUGAAAUAAUUACUAGGGAUAAUUUCAAAAACCUUUCCUGAGAUUGGUUAUAAUAUCACUCAGCUCCUCUAAAGUUUUAAAAAUCUCACUUACCUUCCUUGUCAGUUUGACAAGACUAAAUAUUCCUAUCAAAUGUCACAAAAUUCACAAGAUUAUCCUUGCUCUUAAUAACUAUAUAACCAAAAAACAAAAUAAAAUAAAAUUUUAAACCAAAAUAUCUAGAUUAAAAAAUUGAUAUCUAAUAAUGGUCCAUGUUUCUUUAUACAGAGGUCAUUGUAGGAUAACAAAGAAUGUGGGUAAAUUAAAUCUAGUCAAAAUCAACUAUUUAGAAGGAUGUUGGUGAGUAAUUGACACUUGAAAAAUUUUGUGAAUAAUUAUAAGGAAGUCAAGAAAUUUAAUUAGGAAAUGUAUUUUAGUAUAUGAUGCAAUUUAAGUGGUAUUGAAACUAAAAUAAUCUCUUCAUACAUGUGAAUUUUGAAGAUGUAAAUUUUGUUCUUGUUCCAAUACAACAAAAUAAAUAGUUCAAGUCAAGAAAUUUAUACCUUAUAAAUAUUUAGUUUAAUUUUAUCUUUUAUUGUUGUUGUAAACUUCAUAAGUAACAUAAUAUGAGAGUAUUGUUGAAAUAAAAGUUUUAUCUUUUUGUAUUUCCUCUAAAGGAGCUAAAAUAUUACAAAAAAUGUCAAUCAAAGGGAGGUAAGUGAGAUUUUAAAAACCUUAGGAAAGUCAAGUGAUAUUAUGAAAAACUCUAAGGGUGGUUUCUGAAAUUAUCCUAAUUGCUAUUGCACUUUUUGUGAUAUAAUGUAUAUGAGAUAAAAAUAUGAUGAAAAGAUAAAAACGGUAUGAUAAAAGAUGUCAUUAUGCAAGCAAAUAAUUUUUCGACAAAUAAGUGCUAUCCAGACACAAACAUGUUAUCCUUUCCUAGUAGUCCUUUAAGGAUUUUCAUUUACCUCAUUAUUCUUUGGGAAAAGAGUUCUAAUGGCCCUCCAACUCUUACCCAGGUAAAGUUUUGGCCCUCCAACAAUUAAAGAUAAAUUUUUGGCCCUCGAUCUAACAAAGUAGUAUUAGUGGCCCUUCUGUCAAAUCCAGCAGUUAACUAUGACAGGAAAUUUCAUCUCGUGAGAUGCGCCACCAAAUAUGAAGGGCACUAUAGUCUAUUUGCCAAGACAGAGUAAAAACAGUUUCACCAACAAUUUUCCUCCAACAAUUUCCACCCUCUUUGCUGUAAAACCCUAGUGCGACUUAAAUCAGAGUUCUCAAUCCGGAUGCUGUAGUGAAAGUGGUAAUUGCGGCGUGGGAGGGGUUGUAUAGGCAGAAAUGAGUGGCAAAUACGGAGGAAAGAUGACUACUUUGAUCCGUACCUUGUUUACGGUAAUUGAAAUUGUUGUUUACUAACUCAUUUGGGUUUAAGAUUUGUUUAUAUGUUUGGGUAAUGUGUACUGGAACUUAUUUGUUUACUAGAUGCAUGUGUAAUGAGACUUAUUUGUUUAUAUGUUGGGGUAAUGGUGCUGUUGGGAGGCUAAGUGGUCCAAUUUGUGGUCCUACUUUGUUUGUUGUAAAUUGACAAUAUCGGACAAAAGAGGUUGUUUUGAAAGUGAUGUAUUUUAAUGGCUGAAAAGGGACACUUUAUUUGUUUAGGGUAAUUUUUUUUUGGCUGAAUACUUACCAAUUCAGUAUUUCAUUUGUCAGUCUCUAUGUGUUUUUUGUUGACUGUUUUAUCCCAAUUGCCAUUGUAGAGACUGAUUUUGAAUGGUUUACUAUUCGGAUGCAUCAUGGGGGUAGAAUUAUGUGGGAACAGUAUGUAUGGUAUGCUAAUGGAGAGGUGGACUAUGUAGAUGUUUGUGAUGCCGAAAGAAUGUCAACUAUUGAACUAAAUAAAAUGGUGGAGAAAAUGGGACAUCGUAAUGCUGCCAUAAUGUAUUACUACCUUGAACCAAAUAAGGAUCUAACAAAUGGUUUAAGAGAGUUGUGCACCGAUGAUGACGUUAACAAAUUUUGUGCUUGGAUUUUAAGUACAAGGUAAUGGAAGUCUAUUGUAACCAUCUAACAGCUGAAGAAAUUAAUAGUUGCAAGUCUCCCAAAGUGAUCCAACCAGCAGAAAAGAAGAAGACUGGUGUUUUGAUAGAAGAGUUGGAUAGGGAGGGUAGUGUAGUAGAGGAAUCUUUUUCUCACCUAGUUCCUAAGAGGAGAUAGUUAAUUAGAAAUUUAACUGGAGAACAGAGUCAAAGUAGAAGAACAGCCAAGAACCAGCACAUUGCUGAACAAAGUGGUGAUGCACAAGCAUCUAUUCAUGAGGAGCAUCAUGUAGGGUCCUUAAGUGAGCAGCAACAUGUGCAGCAACCUGAGCAACAUGUAGGGUCCUUAAGUGAGCAGCAACAGGAGCAGCAACCUGAGCAGCAACAUGUAGGUUCUUCAACUGGAUGACAAAAUGGUGAUGCACAAGCAUGUCAUAGCCCGCAGCAUGUUGGAGAAACUGAUACAGCACAAGAAGGAUUGAGGUGUCAACAGCCUAAUGAAGAUGAAGGAAAUGGAGGAGAUGAUGAAGAUUCUGGAUCAAAAAAUGAAUGUGACAGAUUCAGUGGUGAUGUAGAAUAUUGUAGAGAUGAGGAUCUUCUUGAUGAUUUGACAUUGGAGCCAACUCAGUGUAGAAGCACAUUAAAAGAGAUGCAAACUAGAGGACCUUCACAGCAGGGAGGAGAAGCAACUGAGCAGGCUACUACUGAACAUUGUACUACUGAACAGGCUACUACCUAACAAGCUGAAACACAAAAGUCCCUAGAACAACAGCAAACACAGCAGAAAAAAAAAAGUAAGGCGAAGAAGAAAAACGUAACAGCAGCAGACCCAAGAUUCUGCACCAGAAGUAGAUGCGUUGGCAGAAGAUACAAUUCCAGAUCAUCUAAGUAGUGAUGCUGAUUCAUCAGAGGAAGAUCAAAAAGCUGAACAGUAUGCUGGUAGGUAUAAAGAUUUUUCCUGAAAAAAAUUUAGGAUUGAUACAAGGUUCGAGUUGGGUUUGAAAUUUGAGUCAAGAGCCAAUUCAAAACUGCUAUCCAAGAAUAUAGAAUUAAGAUGGGAAAACCAGUGUACACAAAGAAGAAUGAACCAAAGAGGGUGAGAGCCAGGUGUAAAGAUCCAUGUCCAUGGAAUGUGUUUGCCUCAAUUGAAAAGGCACUUGGUACAGCAGAUUUGGUGUGAAGACAAUGUAUGACAAGCAUGAAAACUGUAAUCAUGCUUGGAAAAAUAAAAAUUUGAAGGCCAAUUGGUUGUCAAAUAGAUAUAUGGAGAGAAUUAGAUCAAACACUCGCAUGCCAACUCGGAAGAUUAGGCAAACAGUGCAUGAGGAGUAUCAAAUCCAAAUUUCUAAAUGGAUGGCUUCUAAUGCGAGGAAAUUGGCUGUCAAAAUGAUACAGGGUCGGUUGAAGCCCAAUACAAGAAAAUUUGGGAGUAUUGUACUGAGAUAAAGAAGACACAUGAAGGGAGUACAAUGGAGAUAAUGUUUACUCCAUUUAGAGGAUUAGGGGGUAAUCCUAAAUUCAUGAGGUUAUACUGCUGUUUAAGACCACUGAAAAAGGGAUUCAAGGAUGGCUGUAGGCUAAUAAUAGGCCUGGAUGGUUGCCAUCUAAAAGGGAUUUAUAGAGGACAGUUACUAACUGUCAUUGCUGCAGACCCGAAUAAUGGAUGGUGGCCUAUUGCCUGGGCAGUUGUGGAGAGAGAAACAACUGAACAGUGGACUUGGUUUCUCAAAUAUCUAAGUGAAGACUUGGAAAUCAAAAUCAGUGCCACUAUACCUUUAUAUCAGAUCAGCAAAAGAUAUGAUAUGAAACUUUGAAAUUCAAAAUUUGAUUCAAAUAUGGUAGAAGCUAACAGUGUAUCAUGAUUUCAUUUUAGGGGCUAGACAGGGCACUUAGUGAAGUUCUACCUGGAUAUGAGCACAGGUAUUUUAUCAAGUUUUUUUUUGCAUUAUAAUUUUUCAAUUGUUUAAUAACGACUUAAACUACUUUGUAAAAACAGGUAUUAUGUGCAACAUAUGUACUGCAAUUUCAAGAAAAAGCAUUUUGGUUUGGCUCUUAAAAAUAGGAUGUGGAAUAUAACAUGUUGCACAACAGUGGAAAUGUACGACAAAGCUAUGGAAGAACUUUAAACUUUUGAUAAGAAUGCAUAUGAAUGGGUCAAGAAAGCUCCUCAUCCUCGACAUUGGUGCAAAGCAUACUUUCCAACUCACGUGAAGAGUGAUAUGAUAGUGAAUAACCUAUGCGAGUCCUUCAAUGCCCAUAUUAAAGAUGCAAGGGACCAACCUAUCAUUACAAUAUUAGAACUGAUAAGGGAAUAUCUUAUGGACAGGAUCCAAAGAAGACGAGCUGCAAUGGAGAAAUAGAAGGGCUUCACUGGACCUUUAAUUAAUGAGAUUGCUCAGACUAGGGUCAAGCAUUCAAGUCAGUGGAUGCGCAUUUGAAAUGCACUGCAUGGCUAUCAAGUCAAGGGUCCAAGAGAGGCCCAAUUUGCAGUAGAUAUGCAAAAAAAAUAUUGUACUUGCAGAUUAUGGGAGAUUAGCAGAAUUCCCUGCUAUCAUGCAAUUGCUGCUAUCUUCAUGAGAGAAGAGGAUCCUUACAAUUAUCUGGAUCGUUCUUAUAGUAGAGGCCUCUUCUUCAAGAUUUAUGAGAAUGUUUUGCAGCCAAUUAGUGGUGAGGAUCAUUGGCCCCUCAUUCACCAUGCCUGUGUUGGAUCCACCAAUACCAGUUACUCAACCUGGUAGGCCUAAAAAGGCCAGAGAAGGAUGUAUCUGAGGGGAGGAUCAUGGUAGAGAGUUGAGAAGGAGGAUUGUCAUUCAUUGUAGAAAAAUGCGGUGAGGUUGGUCAUAACGCAGCUACGUGCAAGAAGCCUCUCAAUGAAGAAGCACAACAAGGUUCUAACAAGUCAUUCGAGACUCAACCGAGUAAUCAGCAAAGGCAGCAAUCAGUAGCAAAAGAGAGGACAGUAAGUGCAUGCAAUUACUGUUAAUUUUUCACUAUUCUACAUCCAUCAUGUACUUACACGUGUCAUUUACAAUUUUGAUAAGAAUAAGGACCCAUGCCAGUCUUCUCAAAAUUUGCAACAACAAACGCAACAGGCUAGCGAUGAACUGGACAGCAACAUCCACAACAGAGCCAACAACAUCAUCAUUCACAGCGAAGAAAAACUCAGCUACAAAGCCGCUUACUGAUGCAAAAAAGGGAGCCAUCAUGCGAUCUAUACUUAUUUGGAUAAAGAACUCCCAUUCACAGUUGGCAACUGGAAGGGGAGAUGGAGUAGAAGAGGCAAAAGCAGAGGAGAGGAGAGGAAAGACAAGGCGAAGAGGAAUGGGAGAAGGAAAACCACUAGAAGAGAAACUCAGCCAUGAUAGACCCAUUUCUUUUUGAUAAACUCUUUUUGUCUUAUAUAUCUGUAAACUGAUGAUGACAAUUCAUUACCAUAUCAGAACAUGUUUUUGUGUCUAGCAGUUCUUCUCUGUUUUUUUUUUUUUUUGUCUAGCAAUUACUUGUUGGUAACAUGCUGAUUCUACUUUGUAUUAUAGCAGUUCCCUUUUGAUGCUCACAACAUGGCUUUAUCUGCUUCUUUUUCUUACACCAUUAUUAUGCUUUUUUCUAAGCACAAUACCAAACCAAUUCAUUGAGUCGAACAAAUGAACUACAACAUUUUUAUUAAUAAAAGAGAUGAGCAAAUAUUCAUUGCAACCAGCACAAACACAGAUUUCAUUACAAGCUUUGCGGAUACAUCAUACAACUAUAAAUAAAAAAUUUACAUUAAAAUGAACAAUUUGAAUUAUUUUCUUCCCCUGCAAACUUCACUUGGAAAGGGCCAGGUGUUUGCAAGCACCUUGUAUUUGCCGAAAACUGACAAGUUUCCAUUUUUUGGCGCCCAACUCAUCAAAAUUAAACAAAUCAAUAUCCAUGUUAAAAAAAGCAAUUUGACCAGUAACUUAUUAACCCAUUUCUUGCUGCGAAUGUCUUUCUCCAAUUCUUUAACUUUUUCCUUCAAUUUUGUUACCUUCUUUCAUUUCUUCUUGCUAUUUCUUCGUAUUCAUCUCUGUCCUUUUCAGUUGCAUUAAUCUUUCGAAGAAGGUUAGGUAUAAUUUCUGUAGCCCGUCGGCACAUCUCCUCAUCGAUCCAUGCCCAAUAUCUGCAGGCACCUUCUACACACAUAGCAAACCUUCGCCCAAGAUUUUUUGAAGUCCACGAAAUAAUCACCAUAGUCUCUUUCUCACAUCUGCACACCGAUAGAGGGGAACUGUUCAUUCUUCGCAUUUUCAGCUCCAACUUUGACUGGAUGGAGAUUUUUGUUGCUCUAACUUAAGGUAAGAGAAGAAGCAACCUUUUUUACUCUCUCUUGCUUGGUCAACCAUCCUUUAGAGACUAUAAUGCCCUUCAUAUUUGGUGGCGCGUCUCACGAGAUGAAGCUUCCCGUCAUAGUUAACUGCUGGAUUUGACAGAAGGGCCACUAAUAUGCUAGUUUGUUAGAUCGAGGGCAAAAAAUUUAUCUUUAAUUGUUAAAUGGCCAAAACUUUACCUGGGUAAGAGUUGGAAGGUCAUUGGAACUCUUUUCCCUUGUUCUUUUCCUACCAUGCAAGAUCUUUAUUACUACAAAAGUGAAGAAACCUCGUAAACAACAUGACAGUUUUCGGAUUGGAAUGCCGUUUCGUUUAUAUUUUUGUAUCAUUUUAUCCCUAUUGCAGCCGUCGCUAUUUCUAAUUUAGUCGCAUUUCAGGUUUAUGAAAAAUUUGUCCACCCUAAAACAAAUUUUAGUGAAACAAACUGAAAUGCCUCCUCUUCAUUUUAAUGUAUAUUCCAUCGAAUGACUCAAAGAUCAGGAGAUAACAUAUAGAGUUUUUGUUUUAUUUAUUUUUUCUGGAAUGCAUAACUUAUAAUCCAAAGAAGAGGAGAAUAUAAACAAAGCAAAAAGUAGUUAACUGCAUCAGAAGUCCAUGGAGAAGGGAAAGCAGAGCUGCAACAGAUGGGAGUUCAACGCAUUACAGUCCGAAAGCUCAAGAAUACAUUCAAGUCAUAGAACAAAGUGAAGAUUUAUUAAGAAACUAAGGUGGACGGGGUACGCAAAGGAUACACCCAAAGCCGCAAAACUUACUACAGCUUUAAGCUGUUUUCUAGUCCUAAAUACAUUUUUGAUAUCUAUCCUCAACUGUACAAUCCUCUAAAUCUUAAAUUACCGAACGCUGGG
This 35149-nucleotide long non-coding RNA is filed under the name Coffea arabica (coffee). RNAcentral's name for it is "long non-coding RNA (CARA_LNC004164)". Lineage: Eukaryota; Viridiplantae; Streptophyta; Magnoliopsida; Gentianales; Rubiaceae. The record is from RNAcentral.